This is a long non-coding RNA of Mesocricetus auratus (golden hamster), 702 nucleotides long. RefSeq lists it as uncharacterized. The record is from RefSeq and is a predicted model, not a curated record. NCBI's taxonomy places the organism in Eukaryota, Metazoa, Chordata, Mammalia, Rodentia, Cricetidae. The transcript has 3 exons.
GCCAGUCAGCAUUAAUUCAGCAGCCCAUAAGGGAAGCAUAUAUUCAACAGCGUGCAGAAGGACAUCUUCCAUCACAUUUUGCUGAGAUGCUAUGGGGAUGGACCCACACUCAAGAGGAGUCACCCAACAUCCUUCAUUUUGGAAUUAUUCUUAAAGGAAGACAUGAAGUUGGAUGGGUAGAGAGAUAAUUUGAUGUUUCACAAGGAUGCUUGCAAAUAGCAUGGAGCCAUGGAAAUAUGUUCAAUGUUAAAACACCUUUUGGAUGUACUCUUUGUUUAACAGCUGUGAUAGAGGGAAUGCUGUGAUUGUACCAUUGACUAUGUGUAUAUAUAGAUAAAACAAGCAGAGGAAAAGUGACUAGAAACUAUGUCUAUCAAAUAUUCAAUGUUAGUGGUAUUGGAGAGAAGACAAGGAACUGCCCAUGACUCGGGAAAUCCACCCUCAGGUUUGUCUCCGGGCCAUAAAACUUUCUUGGUGCAAAAGCUCUUCUCUAGAUUGAAGAAUUGGACAGUAAGAUAGAGGUGACAGAUUGAGCAUCCUGAGCGUGGGCCUUUCCAUAUUACAUCAAGAGCAGGUUUCUUAUCCCCUGUGGUUGGUCACUUUACUUAAUGAGCAAACAUAACAGCGGCAUGCAGGAAAUACAUUUUACCAAGUUUUCUGUAUAGAGGAGUAAGAUCUGUGCCUGUGAUUAGAUAUCAAAUU